GUAGAGAUGUGGUUUUACCACAUUGCUCAGGCUGGUCUUAAACUCCUGGGCUCAAGACAUCCAUCCACCUUAGACUUCUAAAGUUUUGAGGUUAUAGGCAGCAGCCACCAUGCCCAGCCCUGUUUUCUUUUGUGCUGGUUUAUUGCAAAGGCCUCCAAUUUUCUUCCUGACUUCUAGGCUUGCUCACUUCAGCCUAUACACUGAAGCCAGAGGAAUUUUUCUAAAAGGCAAAUUUGGGUCAAAAUGGUCUUGAUUAAAACCUGCUGGCGACCACCCAUUGCCUUUAAGAUAAAAUCCAAACUAAUUUGGCCACAGGACCUGGUAAGAGCUGGCCUUGGCUUACCUUCCCAGUUUUAUCCUGCACCACCCUCCCCAUAUCCUUACCCUCCAGCCACAUAGAAUGUCAGUUUCCUUGGGGGACUUUACCGGUCCUUCUUCAGGAAACCAUCCCCAACCCUCAUCAUCACUCUUUGACUCUCAUCUUUGCUCAUCUUUAGCCUCAGCUGAGGUGUCUCACCCCAUUCUCUGUGAUGUGACAAGAAGCCCCUUGGGAGCAUUUCAGUCCCACUCAACUUUUGUCAUUGUGCUCCUCACAGUCUGAAACAUCUAAGCUGAAGAGUCCCCUGAGGACAAGUACUAUCCUGUGGUUUCAUGACCUUUCUUCCAUUUGUGGUUCUUGCCAAGUUAAAUUUAAAUUACAUCUUAUCAAGAUGGAUAAACCCAAGUUUUCCAGUGCUGGAAUAUAGAAAAUGGAUGGGCAAAUAAGUCCCACUCAACACCCAUAGCCAAGGCAUGGAGACUUCAACACACCUGGGCCCUAGACAUCACCUUUCAUUCUGGAGCUACCAUGAAAGACUUCAGAGUUCAGGAGGAGACUGACUGGGCCUCAUGUUAUUCAGGUACAAAAAGACUUGGACAAUAACUUAAAAAUGAUCAAAUAAUAGUGCAUGCAUCAAGUGCAAUGGGAAGCUCUUCUUGAGAGUGGGAGAAGCUUCCAGAGAAGGGGACAGUGAAGCCAGCUUUUGAAAGAUGAGGAAGAGUUGUGUGAGAGUGGUGAGGGAAGGGGGAUGUGGAGGGAUGGGGAAUGGGCAGGGAAACCAGCACUGUAAAGACCUGGACAAUUAAGAUGGCACAUUUGGUUCAGGGAAUGGGGAAUUAAGUGUGGCAGGAAUGCUUUGGAGAGAUAGUAAUUUGCUUGUAUGGAAUUUUGCCUGAGAGACCUCACAACAGUUUCUAAUCUGGUGAUGUUAUCAUCCAUCACUGUCCUUGUCAGAUAGUUUGAAAUAAGUAUGAUGAUCACAGUAACAUCAAGUAUAAUAUUUCAUGAAUUCUCACAAAAUCACAGGCAGGUACCACAGUUAUCCCCAUUUUAUAAGUGAGAUGAUAAAGACUUAGGGAUAAUGAGUGAUUUGCCCAAGUUCACAUGGAUAUUAAGCUGAGUCAAGUGUAGGGUCUGGUUUGACUUUAAUGCUUGCUUUGCUCAUGAGCACCACGUAUUGCUUCUCCUAUGCAGUUAGGCAGGUAGGUGAAAGGAAAGCCUGUGUUUCUCUCUAGUCACGCACUUCAAUUGACUGAUUGUGUGUGUGGAGCUUAUACACCAAAUUCUUCAGUGUUCUGGAUAUUAACUGGGUAUCCCAAAAUGUUAUUCUGACACUACCUGGAGCUCACACAGACCCUGCAAGUUAGGUGCUCAGUCCCAUGAGACUACCCUCAUUUCAGAUGCCAAUGGCAAGUAUUAGGUUUUCACCUGUACUUUUGACCAACUUAUUACAAAUCAGAGGUUCUCAUGACCCCCUUCUUUGAUUUAAUCACUUGCUGGAACAGCUUACAGAACUCAGAAAAACAGUUUAUUUUCUUUUUUUCUUAGAAACAUGGCCUCAUUUUGUU
Sapajus apella (tufted capuchin) is the source of this 1887-nucleotide long non-coding RNA. RefSeq lists it as uncharacterized. The record is from RefSeq and is a predicted model, not a curated record. NCBI's taxonomy places the organism in Eukaryota, Metazoa, Chordata, Mammalia, Primates, Cebidae. The transcript is spliced from 3 exons.